RNAcentral lists this long non-coding RNA (2977 nucleotides) under Homo sapiens (human). RNAcentral describes it as "HSALNT0026864". The record is from RNAcentral. Lineage: Eukaryota; Metazoa; Chordata; Mammalia; Primates; Hominidae.
AUUGAGAAUGUUGCCUGUCUGAGCCCUGAGAUGAGCUGAGGGUUCCUCCUCCCCAGCCAGCACCAGCCUCACACAGCCCUUGUAAAUCUGAAAGUGCUGUUGGUAGCAACCAGGGAUGGGCAGAGGCAGCCCUGUCCUGAGGGUGACAUGAAAGUGAGAGCAAGCUGAAGCUCCAGUUGGCUUAGUCUUCAAAAGUGUCACUUUCAGAUUAUAUCCCUCAGCUUUAAAAUAUCCUUCUUUGAAGUCCAUCCUGCUCUGCCCACUAUUUGUCCCCGGUGGUCACUUCCUCCUCUGUGCUCCCGUGGCCUGGGAUUCACACCAGGAAAGAACGCCACGAAGAAGGAAUGACAAGAAAAUGGAGGCAAAGAACAUUGGAGUCACUCCCUGGCUACACACACUGAGGUGAUAACCAAGAACAAAGAAGAAAUAAGAGGAGGAGGAGAGCAAGAGAUAGAGGCAAGGAGCUGUACUGGAAAUCUACAAUAACUCAUGGAGGGAGGAAAUGUCUUACAGAAGAGGCAUUAGAUUGAACAUCCCGUGGUGUUUUCUCCCCCUCGGUUUCUGGAAAACCAUAUACUUUCAUUUAUAAACUCUAUGCCCAGAUCCCAAAGUAGGAAUCAAGAGCUCCUUUGAGGACAUGCAACCCUUCUCAGAAGUGACUCACAUAACAGGAUGAGGUAAGAUGAAGGCGGCACUGCGGGUCCAACCCUGGUUGAGGAUCAGGGUCUGGUACCCUUUGAUUUCUGGUGCUCAAAAAGGGCCGGUGUGCCGCAGUGAGUGCCAGUUUGAAUGAAGGAAGCAUGCGUGGCCUGAAGCCUCACCGUGUUCCAGGCGUCCAGUUAAGUGCUCUGCACAUAAUAUCACACAUUGCGCUCCACGAUAAGAACAAAUUCUCACAUGGGAACCGAGCAAAGUGUAAUGGAUGUUCCCAGGAGCUGCCUAUGGGAUUCAAGAAAACUGUAUGAGAGGAGUAACAUUUGGGCUGGAAGCGAAAAUACAAGUAAACAUAUGUCAAAUGGCAUGGGCUCAGCUCAGCACAGCUGCUUGGGAAGCGGGUCUGGAAAGCAAUCCUCCACAGAAAGAAAGCAGAAUCUUCUGGGCAUUUCUGAGCAAGUGGACUUCCUUCAGCUGAGCACAGUCCUCAGGAGAAGCGGACAGGUGCAAAGUGUUGGAAGCCAACACUCACAGCAGUUGGGGGUUGGAGUGCUCUGGCUUCCAACAGCAUUGAAACCAACAGCAUUGACUACAGCGAGUUUCUCAAUCUUCAGAACACAUCCCAGCCUCCCUGGGGGCUGCUAAUGCACAGAUUGCCGUUUCCCACUCCAAGAGUUUCUGAUUCCAGAGGUCUGGGGUAGGGCUCGAUAAUUUGUUCUUCUAACCACCUAAUGCUGUUGGUCCAGUGACCACACUUUGAGAAAUGCUGUACUAUGUUUUCUCAUAUAUUUAAAAAUUCUCACCUCAUUUAUGGUUUAAAACUUCUAGAACAAUUCUGAAUAGUUUUUGUAAUAGUGAGCCUCACUUUCCUGUCUCUGCCCUUAAUGGGAAUGUCUCUAAUGAUUCACCUUUCAUACGGGGACUUGUUGUGGUUUACUGGGCAAUUCCUUUUGGCAGGUUAAAAAAAUUCCCUCUGUUUCAAGCUAAAGCCAUUUACCAGGAAGAGACGCUAAGUUUUAUCAGAGGGUUUUUCCAGUAACUAUUGUGAUAAUCAUGGUUUUUUUUCCUAUUUAUUACGAUAUCAAACAUGAAACUUAUUUGAAGUCCUGGAUUAAACGGUGCUUGUUUUCUAUAAUGUUUUGUUCCUUAAAUGUACUGACAAAUUUAAUUUAUUAUUUUUUUAGGAUUUGAGGUACAAGUUCAUACGUGAUAAUGACUUACUGUUUUGUUUUCAUUAUUUCCUCCUUCCAUCCUUUCUUGAUAUCCUUUUUAUCUCUUGGUUUCAAAAUUACACUAGCGUCAUAGAAUGAGUUGGAAAUUAGCCCAUUAUUCUCCAUGCCAUGGAGUGUUUUGCAAAACAUAAGAAUGAUCAGUUCCUUACAUAUUUGGUAGAAUUUACCUUAUAAAACACAGUAGGUUUUGUGUCUCUUCUGGAGUCCAGAUACUGCUAUGGACUGAAUGUUUGUACCCUCUAAGAUUCAUUAGGUUGAAAUCCUAGCCUCAAAGUGGUGGUAUUAGGAGGUGGGACUUUUGGGAGGUGAUCAGGCCAAGAGGGUGGAGCCCUCAUGAAUGGGAUUAGUGCCCUUAUCAAAUAAGGCAAAAGGAGCUCUUUAACCUCUCCCACCAUGUGAGGACAAAGUGAAAAGACACCAUCUAUGAACCAGGAAGCAGGGCCUCACCGGAUGCCAAACCUGCCAGCACCUGGCCCUUGGACUUCCAGCCACCAGAACUGUGAAGAAGAAAUUUCUAUUGCUUAUAAAUACCCAGUUUACGGCAUUCUGUUAUAGAAGUGCCUAAUAGGCUAAGGCAAAUACUAUAUGGUAUUUAGGAUUGCUUCUGUAUAUUUUUAAGACUUUUUUAUUUUGGAAUAAUAAUAAUUCACAGAAAAUUUACAGAGAAAGUCUCCACAUGCCCCUCACCCCACUUCCCCUAAUGUUAACAUAACCGUGGUCCAUUUGUCAAAACUAAGAAAUGAGGAUUGGUACCAUACUAUUGACUGAAUUACAGACAUUACUUGGAUUUUGUCAAUUGUUUUACUAAUAUUCUAUUAUUUCUGUGUCAGAUUCCAAUCUGGAUAACAUGUUGCAUUUGUUCAUCACGUCUCCUUUGUUUUUCCUGGGCUGUGACAGUUUCUUAUUCUUUUCUUGUAUUGCCUGGCUUUGAAUUUUGAGGAAUUCUGGUUAAGUAUUUUGUAAACUGUCACUAAAUUUUGCUUGUCAGAUGUUUUCUCCUGGGUUAGACUGGGCUUACAGGUUUUGGGGAAGAACUCUACAAAAGGGAAAUGUCUUUCUCAUCUCAUCUAAUAAAUGGAUAUAGGAUAUCA